UACAGAGGGUGCGAGCGUUAAUCGGAAUUACUGGGCGUAAAGCGCACGUAGGCGGCUUGGUAUGUCGGGUGUGAAAUCCCCGGGCUCAACCUGGGAACUGCAUUUGUGACUGCAUCGCUGGAGUGCGGCAGAGGGGGAUGGAAUUCCGCGUGUAGCAGUGAAAUGCGUAGAUAUGCGGAGGAACACCGAUGGCGAAGGCAAUCCCCUGGGCCUGCACUGACGCUCAUGCACGAAAGCGUGGGGAGCAAACAGG
This 253-nucleotide ribosomal RNA is filed under the name uncultured bacterium. RNAcentral describes it as "partial 16S ribosomal RNA". It matches the Rfam family "Bacterial small subunit ribosomal RNA", at positions 524 to 776 of the family's 1533-position model. The record is from RNAcentral.